AGAGUUUGAUCAUGGCUCAGGAUGAACGCUAGCGGGAGGCUUAACACAUGCAAGUCGAGGGGCAGCACGAGGUAGCAAUACUUUGGUGGCGACCGGCGCACGGGUGAGUAACGCGUAUGCAACCUACCCUGUACUGGGGGAUAACCCGGAGAAAUUCGGACUAAUACCCCAUAAAGAUAUUGAGAGGCAUCUUUUAAUAUUUAAAGCUCAGGUGGUACGGGAUGGGCAUGCGUAACAUUAGCUAGUUGGCAGGGUAACGGCUUACCAAGGCAACGAUGUUUAGGGGUCCUGAGAGGGUGAUCCCCCACACUGGUACUGAGACACGGACCAGACUCCUACGGGAGGCAGCAGUGAGGAAUAUUGGUCAAUGGGCGCAAGCCUGAACCAGCCAUCCCGCGUGAAGGAAGAAGGCCCUAUGGGUUGUAAACUUCUUUUCCAGAGGAAGAAAAACUCCGACGUGUCGGGGCUUGCCAGUACUCUGGGAAUAAGCAUCGGCUAACUCCGUGCCAGCAGCCGCGGUAAUACGGAGGAUGCAAGCGUUAUCCGGAUUUAUUGGGUUUAAAGGGUGCGUAGGCGGGAUAAUAAGUCAGUGGUGAAACCCUGCAGCUUAACUGUAGACUUGCCAUUGAUACUGUUAUUCUUGAGUGUGGUCAAGGUAGGCGGAAUGUGUAAUGUAGCGGUGAAAUGCUUAGAUAUUACACAGAACACCGAUUGCGAAGGCAGCUUGCUGGACCAUUACUGACGCUGAUGCACGAAAGCGUGGGGAUCGAACAGGAUUAGAUACCCUGGUAGUCCACGCCGUAAACGAUGAUCACUCGCUGUUGGCGAUACACAGUCAGCGGCUAAGCAAAAGCAUUAAGUGAUCCACCUGGGGAGUACGGCCGCAAGGCUGAAACUCAAAGGAAUUGACGG
RNAcentral lists this ribosomal RNA (912 nucleotides) under uncultured bacterium. RNAcentral's name for it is "bacterial SSU rRNA". It matches the Rfam family "Bacterial small subunit ribosomal RNA", at positions 8 to 916 of the family's 1533-position model. The record is from RNAcentral.